GCUAAACGCGAAGAACCUUACCAGGCCUUGACAUGCAGAGAACUUUCCAGAGAUGGAUUGGUGCCUUCGGGAACUCUGACACAGGUGCUGCAUGGCUGUCGUCAGCUCGUGUCGUGAGAUGUUGGGUUAAGUCCCGCAACGAGCGCAACCCUUAUUGACAGUUGCCAAUAUUAAGUUAGGAACUCUGUCAAGACUGCCGUUGAUAAAACGGAGGAAGGUGGGGACGAUGUCAAGUCAUCAUGGCCUUUAUGUUCAGGGCUACACACGUGCUACAAUGGAUGGUACAAAACGUCGCAAUCCUGCAAAGGGGAGCUAAUCGCAAAACCAUUCUCAGUUCGGAUCGGAGUCUGCAACUCGACUCCGUGAAGUUGGAAUCGCUAGUAAUCGCAAAUCAGCAUGUUGCGGUGAAUACGUUCCCGGGUCUUGUACACACCG
This 435-nucleotide ribosomal RNA is filed under the name uncultured bacterium. RNAcentral describes it as "bacterial SSU rRNA". It matches the Rfam family "Bacterial small subunit ribosomal RNA", at positions 954 to 1392 of the family's 1533-position model. The record is from RNAcentral.